UACGGAGGGUGCAAGCGUUAUCCGGAUUCACUGGGUUUAAAGGGUGCGUAGGAGGGCAGGUAAGUCAGUGGUGAAAUCUCCAAGCUUAACUUGGAAACUGCCGUUGAUACUAUCUGUCUUGAAUACCGUGGAGGUGAGCGGAAUAUGUCAUGUAGCGGUGAAAUGCUUAGAUAUGACAUAGAACACCAAUUGCGAAGGCAGCUCGCUACACGAAUAUUGACUCUGAGGCACGAAAAGCGUGGGGAUCAAACAGG
RNAcentral lists this ribosomal RNA (254 nucleotides) under uncultured bacterium. Its description in RNAcentral is "partial 16S ribosomal RNA". It matches the Rfam family "Bacterial small subunit ribosomal RNA", at positions 524 to 776 of the family's 1533-position model. The record is from RNAcentral.